UUGGAAGGGUGGAGCAUCGCUGGCGGCGCAAGCCGCUGGAGGAAAGUCCGAACUCCUCAGGGCGCGGGACCGAGGAAACCGGUCACGACCGGCGCAAGCCGGGGACGACCGGCAUGACCGCGGGCGUUCGGGGCGAAAGUCCCGGGCGACAGACAGUGCCACAGAGAACAUACCGCCACGGCCGCAAGGCCGGGGUAAGGGUGAAAAGGCGGGGUAAGAGCCCACCGCCCGCCGCGCAAGCGUCGGGGCAUGGAAAACCUUCCCGGGAGCAAGGCCAAAUAGGGAACCCUGGCGCGGCCCGCGCCGGUGCUGCGCAAGCAGCCGGGUUCCGGGUACUGGCCGCCGAGAUGAAUGACGCUCACCCGUCCCGCAAGGGCCGGGGACAGAAUUCGGCUUACAGCCCUUCCAAGACA
RNAcentral lists this RNase P RNA (413 nucleotides) under Verrucomicrobiota bacterium. Its description in RNAcentral is "Verrucomicrobia bacterium (activated sludge metagenome) RNase P RNA component class A". It matches the Rfam family "Bacterial RNase P class A". From Rfam's summary of the family: Ribonuclease P (RNase P) is a ubiquitous endoribonuclease, found in archaea, bacteria and eukarya as well as chloroplasts and mitochondria. Lineage: Bacteria; Pseudomonadati; Verrucomicrobiota. The record is from RNAcentral.